This 464-nucleotide ribosomal RNA is filed under the name uncultured bacterium. RNAcentral's name for it is "partial 16S ribosomal RNA". It matches the Rfam family "Bacterial small subunit ribosomal RNA", at positions 28 to 506 of the family's 1533-position model. The record is from RNAcentral.
GACGAACGCUGGCGGCGUGCUUAACACAUGCAAGUCGUACGGUAAGGCCCUUUCGGGGGUACACGAGUGGCGAACGGGUGAGUAACACGUGAGUAACCUGCCCACAACUUUGGGAUAACGCUAGGAAACUGGUGCUAAUACUGGAUAUGUGCCCCUGCUGCAUGGUGGGGGUUGGAAAGCUCCGGCGGUUGUGGAUGGACUCGCGGCCUAUCAGCUUGUUGGUGGGGUAGUGGCCUACCAAGGCGGCGACGGGUAGCCGGCCUGAGAGGGUGACCGGCCACAUUGGGACUGAGAUACGGCCCAGACUCCUACGGGAGGCAGCAGUGGGGAAUAUUGCACAAUGGGCGCAAGCCUGAUGCAGCAACGCCGCGUGCGGGAUGACGGCCUUCGGGUUGUAAACCGCUUUCAGCAGGGACGAAGCUUUUUGUGACGGUACCUGCAGAAGAAGCACCGGCUAACUACGU